GUGCUUGCUUCGGCAGCACGUAUACUAAAAUUAGAACGAUACAGAGAAGAUUAGCAUGGCCCCUGAACAAGGAUGAUGUGCAAAUUCGUGAAGCGUUCGUAUUUUUG
Small nuclear RNA from Delphinapterus leucas (beluga whale), 107 nucleotides. The record is from Ensembl. NCBI's taxonomy places the organism in Eukaryota, Metazoa, Chordata, Mammalia, Artiodactyla, Monodontidae.